RNAcentral lists this ribosomal RNA (430 nucleotides) under uncultured bacterium. RNAcentral's name for it is "partial 16S ribosomal RNA". It matches the Rfam family "Bacterial small subunit ribosomal RNA", at positions 354 to 796 of the family's 1533-position model. The record is from RNAcentral.
GUGGGGAAUAUUGCACAAUGGGCGAAAGCCUGAUGCAGCAACGCCGCGUGAGGGACGACGGCCUUCGGGUUGUAAACCUCUUUUAUUAGGGAAGAAGCGAAAGUGACGGUACCUGCAGAAAAAGCACCGGCUAACUACGUGCCAGCAGCCGCGGUAAUACGUAGGGUGCAAGCGUUAUCCGGAAUUAUUGGGCGUAAAGAGCUCGUAGGCGGUCUGUCGCGUCUGCUGUGAAAACUGGAGGCUCAACCUCCAGCCUGCAGUGGGUACGGGCAGACUAGAGUGCGGUAGGGGAGAUUGGAAUUCCUGGUGUAGCGGUGGAAUGCGCAGAUAUCAGGAGGAACACCGAUGGCGAAGGCAGAUCUCUGGGCCGUAACUGACGCUGAGGAGCGAAAGCGUGGGGAGCGAACAGGAUUAGAUACCCCAGUAGUCC